ACGGUCCUAAGGUAGCGAAAUUCCUUGUCGGGUAAGUUCCGACCCGCACGAAAGGUGUAACGACUUGGGCACUGUCUCAACGAGGGACCCGGUGAAAUUGAAAUACCUGUGAAGAUGCAGGUUACCCGCGACUGGACAGAAAGACCCCAUGGAGCUUCACUGCAGCUUGAGAUUGAAUCCCGGUGACAUAUGCACAGGAUAGGUGGGAGGCUAAGAAGUAAUGCCUUUGGGUGUUACAGAGCCGAUGUUGGGAUACCACCCUUAUGUUGCUGAGAUUCUAACACGGAGACUAACAACCUCGUGGACCAUCUCAGGCAGGCGGUUUGACUGGGGCGGUCGCCUCCUAAAAUGUAACGGAGGCGCCCAAAGGUUCCCUCAGGCCGGACAGAAACCGGCCGAAGAGUGCAAAGGCAGAAGGGAGCUUGACUGCGAGACAGACAAGUCGAGCAGAGACGAAAGUCGGGCUUAGUGAUCCGGUGGUACUGAGUGGAAAGGCCAUCGCUCAACGGAUAAAAGCUACCCUGGGGAUAACAGGCUAAUCUCUCCCAAGAGUUCAUAUCGACGGGGAGGUUUGGCACCUCGAUGUCGGCUCAUCACAUCCUGGAGCUGGAGUAGGUUCCAAGGGUUGGGCUGUUCGCCCAUUAAAGUGGUACGCGAGCUGGGUUCAAAACGUCGUGAGACAGUUUGGUUCAUAUCCAUCGCGGGCGCAAGAAGUUUGAGGGAGGCUGCUCCUAGUACGAGAGGACCGGAGUGGACGGAUCAACGGUGUACCAGUUGUCACGCCAGUGGCACGGCUGGAAAGCCGCAUCCGGAAAGGAUAAACGCUGAAAGCAUCUAAGCGUGAAGCCCGUCCCGAGAUGAGACUUCUCAUCAGCAAUGAGUAAGACCCCUUAAAGACGAUGAGGUUGAUAGGCUGUGAGUGGAAGUGGCGCAAGUCAUGGAGCGACGCAGUACUAAUAGGUCGAGGUCUUAGCUUA
RNAcentral lists this ribosomal RNA (977 nucleotides) under human gut metagenome. Its description in RNAcentral is "bacterial LSU rRNA". It matches the Rfam family "Bacterial large subunit ribosomal RNA", at positions 1945 to 2925 of the family's 2925-position model. The record is from RNAcentral.